Molecule: non-coding RNA, 97 nt
Filed under: unclassified sequences
Description: wcaG RNA
Rfam family: wcaG RNA
Source: RNAcentral
AUGAGUUUACGGCAUCUCUCAAAUGACGUUGGUGCGGAUGGGGUUACUCCCGCCCAGUUUCUUGCCUCUGGUCAAAGGGCAAGUGGCGAGCCUGAGU